This 2519-nucleotide long non-coding RNA is filed under the name Panax ginseng (ginseng). RNAcentral describes it as "long non-coding RNA (PGIN_LNC011667)". Lineage: Eukaryota; Viridiplantae; Streptophyta; Magnoliopsida; Apiales; Araliaceae. The record is from RNAcentral.
UUUAAUUAGAGUCAAAACAAAUUUCUAUUGGUAAGUAAUAUUUUUACCUCAAUCUAAAAAAAUCCACAAACGAAAUUCAAAUUCCAAAUCCCAAUUGAAACUUAAUCGUAAUAAAUUCCUCCUAACAUCAAUUAAAGUUGGAUAAAAGCUCAAACACGCAAAUCACCAGAUAGAAGGAAUUAAAUGGGUAUGGAGUUUGGUUUCAUCCAAAACAAAGUGGAUGAAUUUCUGGUAAGAGCAGCAGGCAGAAACUUCAAUUGAAUCCCUCAAUUUCCUAGCUCGUUGUAAUACCACUAAUUGAAGGUAAUAAUAGAGGCUACAGAAUAGAACAACACAAAGGAGCAAAAAAAUUAACAGAUAAACAAGAAUUUCAACUCUGAAAAAAGGAAAAGCAAGAAUUCAGGUCUUAAGGCUAACAAAAUAUGGCAAGAGUAGAAUCAGAGGAUCCUGAAACAUACGUAUUGAGGCCUCCAAGCUCCACAUUUGACCUUUUUCCAAAUGUUGACCACACUAUAUUUGGUGGGUUUUCACUGCACUGAGGGCCAGACAUGAUAAUAUUAGAGAAUGAGUUUCUGGGUUAUGCAAAGGAGAUGCUAAGAAACUGAGAAUGGUAGACAAUGCACUGACGACAUUAUGCACCAAAAGAAAAGAAAAGAAAUUAAUAAUAGUAAACUAAUGACAUUAAAAUUGUGUUUCAAAUAAAAUUGAAGGGAUAAUGGUCCACCCAUUCAACAGUUUAGCUCCGCCCCUUUAAGCAAGUAAAGGGAAAUGUUUUGCUCGGCACCAACAGUCCAAGGCUUCGUCUACUCUUAUUAUAAGCCUUGCUUUCUAUGCCUCAUUUUCCUUUGAAUAUAAUAGUUGUAUAAAAAUAUGAAUAACAGAUGAAUUUUCGUUACCCCUCCAAAAAAAAGAAGAUGUUUCAUGCCAAAAGAAUAUGUUAAGCUAUAAAAUGUUGCUACUAAGAGGUUCGAGCAAAAGAUUACUUACAAAGACUGAAAAACACUGAAAUAACCUGCAUGUGUCAUAUCCCUUAAAAACCUACAGCUGAAGAUCAAUGAAAUUCCAUAAAAAUACUUCAAAUCCAGCAAAUCAUAAUGCAUUAGGUAAACAACCAUACAAAGUUUACACCCAAUUUUUUUUAGAGAUUUUGCACACAAAUACAAAUGAAGAAAGAAUCAGAAGUAAAGAUUGACAUUGGUUUCAAAUCUUGUCGGUUUAAUCAAUAUGCAACUCAACCUGCUAACAGUUCGGACUUUCGUGCUUUUUGAGUUUUUUCAUGAGCACAAAACUUACAUUUUCAGUAGUCUGAGUUAGAACUUUUAAGGAUAACUAUGGCAUUUUCUUUGUCAAUGUUCAGUUUUUAGCAGCCAUCAACAUUGAUGAGUCUUUGCAACAAAUAAAUAACAACUACAAAAAAAUUCAUAUGAAAUCCAAAAAAUUUAACACACAUAGGUGUCCUCAAACCUCAAUUAAUAUAUCUACCUUCUACUAUGUGUAGUUAAUUUUUGUCGGUCGGUCGUUCGAUGUGAGCUUCUCAAAAAUAAAUAUUUAACAUUUCAUUACUCUGGUAAACCUUAAAAUCACAAUAUAACCUUGAAAAUUUAUUUUAUUAUUCUAUAAAAUUGAAACAAAUGCUUACCUCAAGGUUUAACUUCCCCGCUCUGAUCUUCCUCGUCAUCACCGCCUUCUCUUUUAAUGGAAACUCGACUCCAACUGCAAAUUUCAGGUGAGAGUAUUGCUGCGAUGGGCAAGAAAUCCAAAAUCGGGGAUAAGGUGAGCUCAGAUGGAGAGACGAAGUAAAGAACUUAAACCAAAAAACAAAUGCCCCAACACAGAUUCACAAAUGUACAAACAAACAUUAAAUAUCAAAUCUAAACCACUAAAUAGAAACUUCCCUAAUCUGAAUUGCGAUCAACAGUACAUUUGAACUCGAAAUAAAAAUGAGAUUCAGAUUCACUAACACCAACAGUUAAUUUAUCGAAUCCCAAUCAAUGAACAACAUUAACAAUAACACCAACAUUCCUUCAUUCAAUCCUCAACAACAAAACCCAAAAUGAUUUUCAGUUAUUCUGUUAUUUGGCUAUGAAAGGGAAUUGAAAAAAUAAAUGAAGAAAUUGUAUUUGUUUGUUGUACCUGUGCAGAACGAAAUAGACCCGUACAUCGUUGUUUUGGGUGGGAGAAGUGUCGAAACAAUCUUCGAAAGCGGAAUUGAAAGGAGCGAGAGAAGGGGAACAGGUAUAUGGAAGUGAAAUAGGGGUGAGGGUAGUGAAGAAGAGAAAGAAAGAGAAAGAGAAAAAGAAAAAGAAAGAGGAAGAGGAAGAGGAAGAGAAAUAAUUGGGAAUCUGAAGAGAGAAACGAUUUUGUCGAUAAGGGUUGAUUCCAAUUUAGCUGACCGAGUUAAUUCCUGAUUGAUUUCAAAUUGAGUAAGUUGAUUUUAAUUGAUUAAAAUUGAGUGCGUAAAGAAUAGGCUGUCAUGUCUUUAUAUUGAAGGUAUUGAGGUAUUGAUGUGUGUAAUUUUG